GAUGAACGCUGGCGGCGUGCCUAAUACAUGCAAGUCGAGCGAACGGACGAGAAGCUUGCUUCUCUGAUGUUAGUGGCGGACGGGUGAGUAACACGUGGAUAACCUACCUAUAAGACUGGGAUAACGUCGGGAAACCGGAGCUAAUACCGGAUGAUAUUUUGAACCGCAUGGUUCAAAAGUGAAAGACGGUCUUGCUGUCACUUAUAGAUGGAUCCGCGCUGCAUUAGCUAGUUGGUAAGGUAACGGCUUACCAAGGCAACGAUGCAUAGCCGACCUGAGAGGGUGAUCGGCCACACUGGAACUGAGACACGGUCCAGACUCCUACGGGAGGCAGCAGUAGGGAAUCUUCCGCAAUGGGCGAAAGCCUGACGGAGCAACGCCGCGUGAGUGAUGAAGGUCUUCGGAUCGUAAAACUCUGUUAUUAGGGAAGAACAUAUGUGUAAGUAACUGUGCACAUCUUGACGGUACCUAAUCAGAAAGCCACGGCUAACUACGUG
RNAcentral lists this ribosomal RNA (497 nucleotides) under uncultured bacterium. RNAcentral's name for it is "partial 16S ribosomal RNA". It matches the Rfam family "Bacterial small subunit ribosomal RNA", at positions 28 to 507 of the family's 1533-position model. The record is from RNAcentral.